UAGGGAAUCUUCCGCAAUGGACGAAAGUCUGACGGAGCAACGCCGCGUGAGUGAAGAAGGAUUUCGGUUCGUAAAACUCUGUUGUUAGGGAAGAAAAAAUGUAUAGUAACUAUAUACAAAAGAGACGGUACCUAACCAGAAAGCCACGGCUAACUACGUGCCAGCAGCCGCGGUAAUACGUAGGUGGCAAGCGUUGUCCGGAAUUAUUGGGCGUAAAGCGCGCGCAGGUGGUUUAGAAAGUCUGAUGUGAAAGCCAACGGCUCAACCGUUGAGGGUCAUUGGAAACUAAUAAACUUGAGUGCAGGAGAGAAAAGUGGAAUUCCUAGUGUAGCGGUGAAAUGCGUAGAGAUUAGGAGGAACACCGGUGGCGAAAGCGGCUUUUUGGCCUGCAACUGACACUGAGGCGCGAAAGCGUGGGGAGCAAACAGG
This 429-nucleotide ribosomal RNA is filed under the name Verrucomicrobiota bacterium. RNAcentral's name for it is "Verrucomicrobia bacterium partial 16S ribosomal RNA". It matches the Rfam family "Bacterial small subunit ribosomal RNA", at positions 355 to 776 of the family's 1533-position model. Lineage: Bacteria; Pseudomonadati; Verrucomicrobiota. The record is from RNAcentral.